RNAcentral lists this ribosomal RNA (423 nucleotides) under uncultured bacterium. RNAcentral's name for it is "bacterial SSU rRNA". It matches the Rfam family "Bacterial small subunit ribosomal RNA", at positions 207 to 622 of the family's 1533-position model. The record is from RNAcentral.
AAGACCUUGCGCUUUUGGAGCGGCCGAUGUCUGAUUAGCUAGUUGGUGGGGUAAUGGCCUACCAAAGCUUCGAUCAGUAGCUGGUCUGAGAGGACGGCCAGCCACACUGGGACUGAGACACGGCCCAGACUCCUACGGGAGGCAGCAGUGGGGAAUUUUGGACAAUGGGCGCAAGCCUGAUCCAGCCAUGCCGCGUGAGUGAAGAAGGCCUUCGGGUUGUAAAGCUCUUUCAGCCGGAACGAAACGGUUACGGUUAACACCCGUGACUACUGACGGUACCGGAAGAAGAAGCACCGGCUAACUACGUGCCAGCAGCCGCGGUAAUACGUAGGGUGCGAGCGUUAAUCGGAAUUACUGGGCGUAAGGGGUGCGCAGGCGGUUUUGUAAGUCAGAUGUGAAAUCCCCGGGCUUAACCUGGGAACU